This 484-nucleotide ribosomal RNA is filed under the name uncultured bacterium. RNAcentral's name for it is "partial 16S ribosomal RNA". It matches the Rfam family "Bacterial small subunit ribosomal RNA", at positions 30 to 507 of the family's 1533-position model. The record is from RNAcentral.
AUUGAACGCUGGCGGCAGGCCUAACACAUGCAAGUCGAGCGGAUGAAGGGAGCUUGCUCCUGGAUUCAGCGGCGGACGGGUGAGUAAUGCCUAGGAAUCUGCCUGGUAGUGGGGGAUAACGUCCGGAAACGGGCGCUAAUACCGCAUACGUCCUGAGGGAGAAAGUGGGGGAUCUUCGGACCUCACGCUAUCAGAUGAGCCUAGGUCGGAUUAGCUAGUUGAUGGGGUAAAGGCCUACCAAGGCGACGAUCCGUAACUGGUCUGAGAGGAUGAUCAGUCACACUGGAACUGAGACACGGUCCAGACUCCUACGGGAGGCAGCAGUGGGGAAUAUUGGACAAUGGGCGAAAGCCUGAUCCAGCCAUGCCGCGUGUGUGAAGAAGGUCUUCGGAUUGUAAAGCACUUUAAGUUGGGAGGAAGGACAGUAAGUUAAUACCUUGCUGUUUUGACGUUACCAACAGAAUAAGCACCGGCUAACUUCGUG